CAGCAAAUAAAUAGAUAAUUUCACAUAUAUAUAUAUAUAUUCCGCAGAUGGUCUGCAUUAUUGUAUUUUUCGCUUAGAUUUACAUAUUGUUACGCCUGGAUUGUACGUACAUAAGCAACCCCUGCUAGUCUACAUUUUGUACGCUUUUUUAGGUUUAAAAUGAAAAAAAAAAAACUAAAGUGUUCAAACGCGUAAGUUAACGACGAACUAACUGCUAGAUUAGUGUCACUGCUUCAAAACAAGCACAUUUUUCUGAUGUCCACCACAGAAUCGUUAGAAUGUCUUUGCUAUACCGCUCUUUGCCUAAUCUUACUAACUCGUACCUCCUUAUGUUUGUUCACAACUUUCUUGAGCUCGACUGGAGCCUUCAUCAUUUAUCGUCAUUAAUAUUGUUUCGUGCUGGCUUCCAAGCGUACCCUUUCCUCACUGUUUACUCGAUGUAAGUAUACUUCAAGGACUUCACGCCAACCCUGCGUCGGCAUCACCUCUGCCAUCAUCAAGCGGACUAUUACCAUAGUCGUUAUUUUUGCUAAACUAAUUAUUAGUUUUUUUUUUCAUUUGGGAAUUCGUAAUACUGACACUGUUCGCACGCAGCGUAUCAUUUCCGUUCGCCGGCAAUCAUAAACAGUUGCGUGUUACGUCGAGGUACUGUGUACGUUCGUUCCGUGCUCUAAUGCCGCCGGGUGGUUUGUCGACAUCGAGGACGUCGUCCAAAACGAUCAAUCUUAAAUUGCAAUUGGAAACACUUACCAAACAAAACGGACCCGGUGACCAGCGCUAGACGGCUGGCCGCUUGUUGAAAGGCUUGCACACGGACGAUGCUGCCGUUGCGCCUUACGUGAAUAAACCAGACGUACGUUCUCGGUCACAACUUCGUUCCGAUAGAAAGACAUGAGAUAAAACGACAAACGAAAAUAUUGAUUUACACGACUAGGCGAUUUCUGGAUUGGCAGUAGGGACGUCGUUAUUUAGCUUGCAAUUUCUUUACUGUUGUAACAUUUGGGCGUAUGCAUCUUUUAAUAUAGAUACGUUUUUUGACGUUUUGUGCAUAGACGAUCGCGGUAACAGUAAGCACGAUUGCAUUGGCUAAAUCCUAAUUUUUGGGAAAACCAAAGUAUGUUUAUUCUCUGUAACUUGACGUCACAGACAUGUGUGUUUUAAGCCAGCCGUCAGUAUAUAUAAACGCGAAUUGGCUUAAGCUCAAUAGAAAACAGCUCAGUCGAAGGGGUGGACUCGUAAAGGUCCACAAUAUGGCGUGUAUGUCCUCGUUUUUUGCUCUUUUCACGUGCUUUAAAUGGCGCACAUCGUAGGAAACUUGCACCUCAAUAUGUGACCGCCAAAGUAGUCAUAUCGACGAGCACUUGAUCAGCCUCGAUCGUAACGCCGUGCAAUUUGGAUGUCUUCAAAAUGUAUUUGUGCAUUCACGUUACACGUAAACACUCAGAAACUGCUGGCAGCCGUUAACAUCAACAACACGUACAGCGUCUCCAGGCCUAAAGUUUCUAUUCUGUGUAUGUCGCAAGUUCCUUGAGCGUGCUUAUACCGAGUAGAAGAGAAUGAUGAUUUCGGGGCCAAGCUGUUCAACGCCAAAUAACGCUGAUGAUGUGGCUACCCGUCAAUUCCUUGAUGACAACCUAUUCGAUCGCAUGGCACGCUCUACUCAGAGAAUCGAGCAGUUAAGCAAGCAGAUAACGCCAACGUCACAUUUACUGUCCCAAGUGUGGCGCGAGGCCGUACAACCACCUUGCUUAGAGUUUUCGAGUCGGGCUUGUGAAAACCAGAUGUUAGCACCAGCGAUCGCGGCAAUCGAGAAGGUAGCGCCAAAGACCAGGUUUGAAGCUCCACCACUCUAUACGCCACUGUUUAGCGAUGCCCUCAUUCCUCAAAAGACUUCAUUGUCUACAAUCCACACCCCACCGGAUACUGAACGUUGUCCGGGAAGACGACUGUUCGACGACGCGUCAACAAACACACCCCCCCACGAUACCGCUAUCCUCACUGCCAGCCCCACUUCAUGAAUCCAUUCCUGGAAAAGUAAACACAUCAGAAGGUCAACGAUUAUGGUGGUAGGCACCCACGAACUAAUCCUACACCGAUUCAUUAAAUAUCCGGAGUGAUAUUUCUUUAUAUGUUAAUUAAUAGAGUGACUGAAAUUCGUCUGAAUGAAUCUAAACGACUGCAUUGAUAGACAAUUGGCUUUCACAACAAAACGCGGCCUGCUUAUGCCCGGAUUUGAGCCCACGUCAUCUUCACUGUAUGGACAAGUACAUUAUCACCACGCUAUUAGACGGAACCAGAAAACCGAAAUCUACGACAUAACAACGAAGGGACACAAGCAGACGAUUUUUCAGCUUGUGCAAAAACACUCUACUCUGACAGGUGCGAGCACGCGAUCAUUUGGAAGUAACUCCCUAGGUGCAUUACCAUGGUCUCUUCAGAACGCCAACACCUGACAACAUCCCGAGCCGAUUAAUCUUUUAAACUCUUGAAAAAUCAUUCUUAACAUAUAACGGUAGCGAGUUAUUACAUUUUGCGUUCUUAUUUUUUAACCUAU
Molecule: RNA transcript, 2554 nt
Organism: Varroa destructor (honeybee mite)
Lineage: Eukaryota; Metazoa; Arthropoda; Arachnida; Mesostigmata; Varroidae
Source: RefSeq, a predicted model, not a curated record